AGAAACAUUCCUGUCGGUGGUGGUUCCAGAAAGAACAAGAGAUCAGCUUCUUCUACUUCUUCAUCUUCUUCCUCUUCAUCUUCUAAGAAACUUCCUGAUCUUGUUACACCUCCAAGUUUGUCACAGUCUUCUAUUCAAAACCCUAAGAUCCAUGAAGGCCAAGAUCUCAACAUAGCUUUCCCAUCUACUCAAGGUAUAAGAAGUUUCUCUGAAUUGAUUCAAGUACCUAACGUUGAAACCAACAACAAGAACCAAAUCUCUUCUUCUUCUACAUCCACUACAUCUCAACUUUCAGCUUUGGAACUGCUAACGGGAAUCUCUUCAAGGGGUUUGAAUUCUUUCAUGCCUAUGCCAGUUCAAGA
This 362-nucleotide unclassified non-coding RNA is filed under the name Hevea brasiliensis (rubber tree). Lineage: Eukaryota; Viridiplantae; Streptophyta; Magnoliopsida; Malpighiales; Euphorbiaceae. The record is from RNAcentral.